RNAcentral lists this long non-coding RNA (565 nucleotides) under Apteryx haastii (Great spotted kiwi). Its description in RNAcentral is "lncRNA (ENSAHAG00000004629.1)". Lineage: Eukaryota; Metazoa; Chordata; Aves; Apterygiformes; Apterygidae. The record is from RNAcentral.
GCUGAUGGUUCGGGGGGGUCGCUCGCGAGCGCAGAGCGCGCAGUGACAUACCGCAACCUCUCCCGCCCGGCAGCUCCACCACGUUCGCCGCGGGCUGGCCCCGGAGACGCUCUACGGGCAGCUCGGUCGCUCCACGGAGGCAGGCGCGGAGGGAGAGACCGCGGCGGCCGGCGGCCGUUACUGGGACGAGCGCUCCAAGAAGAUGGCUCAGCAAAACCUGAGGGAGCUCCUCAGCUUCCCGCGGCUCCUGGUCGACGCGCUCACUGUCCUCCUCGUUGAGCUGGUCCGCUUCCUCGGCGAGUCCGUGGUCCAGGUGCUGCUGGUCGGUCUGCUGACGGCGAUAGGAGAGCACAUGUUGAAGCCUCUCUUGGUGGCCUUGUCUAACAGCAUCCUGCAGCCUCUGCUGCUGUUCCUGCUGAACCUCCUGCACGGCAUCCGGGACCUGACCUACCCGCUCAUCGACAUCCUGGAGGGCAUCUGCUUGCAGGUCGCCGUGGUGCUUCAAGCUUUCAGAUUAGUCGAGGUCAACGUGCAGUCGGACGGAGGAGCAGCUCGGAGGGUUUAG